UCAGCUCGGCUCAGACUCUCCUCAUCGAGAUUAACGCUGCGGACAGGGCCGGGCGGCCCGGGGGGGCAGCGUGGCCCUCAGCGUGACGUCACGGACCCCUCAUCAGAGGCCGCUGACAUUUACUGUAUCGCUUUGGAGAUGUAAGAGCACUUAGCCGCGAGGCAGGGAGGCACUUUUCAUCGUCGCUUUGAUGCCUUCCUCCUCCUACUUGCAGUGACGGGAUACACACUUUUCUCAGGGUCCCUCUUGUUGUGGUGCGACUUAGAAGAAGAAGAAGAUCCACAGACCUAGUAGGGGGGUUUCUGUGUGAUGGAGCAGGGCGGUAAGCAGGUGCAGAUAUCAAGCAGCUAGUUGUGUCUUUUUUUUUGGCCUUUGAUCAGAAGGAUAAUAACAUUCUCAUAACUCAUACAGUAAAUAUGAAGCUACUGACGGAAGCGGCUCAGCUCAGCGGGAAAGACCGGAAACAGGGAGACUGCUUGCAUAGUUAUUUUCAAAACUCACUAUGUUGUUAAUUAUAAAAACAGCACGUUUGACAGGUUUGUCACAUGGAGGACCAGGUAUCAGACAAGGUGGCAGACUCCUCAUGCGACUCACAAGAAACAAGACGCGUUUAGUCAUCAGCAGAGCUCGUAAAGUCUACUGAGCUAUAGAGAGAUAAGAAAUGUCACAAAGGCAGAGAAAGUGAGUCAUUCCAUCCGGCGUGAUGGACAUGUGACCACACACACACACACGCAGACACACACAGAGCGACUAUGAUUCACUCCUCUGCUCAGAGAGCUGGUGUGAUUCAUCCUGCGCCCUCGCUGUGGCAGCGCACAUUAAAAGCAAACCCUGCUACAGUUUAAAUGACCCGAGUGCUGAUUCAAAGAAAAGAAACUCCUGGACUCCGUCUCUCCCGGCUCCGGAUGACCCUGCAGCAGCCCGCUCGCCCACCCAAAACCGGCUUAUUCUGCCUCCUGCAACUCGUGGGGUGACGAAACCCAAUGAAAGGAUGCACAGGCCGAAUAUAAACAGAAAUAUGCAAGAAACGUUCAAGGAAAAGGUUUAUGUUGGCCCCCCGCUCUGUUGUUGUACAUUUGUCUUUACGUUUUCCUGUUGGUUAAUAUUAUGAACAGCAUUACACUUUUCGGAGUCAGUAUUUUUUCUAACGGAUAUCUUAUUUUGUAGCACUUAACAGAAGUAACAUGAAUGCACUCAAAGAGUGUGCCGCAGCUCAAGUGCCUGUAUACAAGCGUCAGGUGUCUUUAAGUUCAAGAGUUUGAUUAUAUCUCUUUUUUUUCACUUAUUCUAUGAGUUUGUGUGUUUCUGAUGAAGGUUUUUUGUAAGUCAGGUGACCUUGGGAGACUCAAGCAAACUGUAUAAACCUGGCACCGAUAUUAAGGGACUCAUACACAUAGGUGGCCAAUGAAGGCAUGCUGUGUGUCUACUUGCUAUACGUACUGAAACUAAUAGGGUCAUGUAGCAUUACAGAAAACAUACACAUGUCACCUGAGACUUCUGCUCAAAAACUCACAUAUGCCGUUACCCAAUAGCUCUACUGUGCAGAGGUUUUGCAUGCGCAGUACGUUUCAUCGUCAUCAUGGCAUCACGAUGAAACCUUAUCGGGAGGUUUACUGUGAUAUCGUUACAAACGUGAUGCGGAUGGUCCCGAAAAAAGCUGAAUGUCGACUUACCUACUAAUGUAAAAUGCAUUGUGUAAAUGUGAAUUUCUUAGAGUUAAUACAAGAUACAGAAAUACGCUAUGAAAUGUAAAAGAAAAUAACUAAAUAACAAUGUGUGCAAAUGAAAUAGAGCAUCUAUAAUACAAUAAACAGAGAUGUCAUUGCA
Gasterosteus aculeatus aculeatus (three-spined stickleback) is the source of this 1827-nucleotide long non-coding RNA. NCBI's taxonomy places the organism in Eukaryota, Metazoa, Chordata, Actinopteri, Perciformes, Gasterosteidae. The record is from Ensembl.